RNAcentral lists this ribosomal RNA (329 nucleotides) under uncultured eukaryote. Its description in RNAcentral is "partial 18S ribosomal RNA". It matches the Rfam family "Eukaryotic small subunit ribosomal RNA", at positions 1470 to 1796 of the family's 1831-position model. The record is from RNAcentral.
CCCUUAGAUGUUCUGGGCCGCACGCGCGCUACACUGAUGCAUUCAACGAGUCUAAAACCUGGUCUGAGAGGGCUGGGUAAUCUUUUGAAAGUGCAUCGUGAUUGGGAUAGAUGAUUGCAAUUCUUCAUCUUCAACGAGGAAUGCCUAGUAAACGCAAGUCAUCAGCUUGCAUUGAUUACGUCCCUGCCCUUUGUACACACCGCCCGUCGCUCCUACCGAUUGAACGAUCCGAUGAAAACUGUGGAUUGAGAGUCUGAGUGGGUUCGCCUACCUCAACUUUCGGGAAGCGGUUUAAAUCUUAUCGUUUAGAGGAAGGAGAAGUCGUAACA